GACGAACGCUGGCGGCGUGCUUAACACAUGCAAGUCGAACGGAAAGGCCCUGCUUUUGUGGGGUGCUCGAGUGGCGAACGGGUGAGUAACACGUGAGUAACCUGCCCUUGACUUUGGGAUAACUUCAGGAAACUGGGGCUAAUACCGGAUAGGAGCUCCUGCUGCAUGGUGGGGGUUGGAAAGUUUCGGCGGUUGGGGAUGGACUCGCGGCUUAUCAGCUUGUUGGUGGGGUAGUGGCUUACCAAGGCUUUGACGGGUAGCCGGCCUGAGAGGGUGACCGGCCACAUUGGGACUGAGAUACGGCCCAGACUCCUACGGGAGGCAGCAGUGGGGAAUAUUGCACAAUGGGCGGAAGCCUGAUGCAGCAACGCCGCGUGCGGGAUGACGGCCUUCGGGUUGUAAACCGCUUUCGCCUGUGACGAAGCGUGAGUGACGGUAAUGGGUAAAGAAGCACCGGCUAACUACGUGCCAGCAGCCGCGGUGAUACGUAGGGUGCGAGCGUUGUCCGGAUUUAUUGGGCGUAAAGGGCUCGUAGGUGGUUGAUCGCGUCGGAAGUGUAAUCUUGGGGCUUAACCCUGAGCGUGCUUUCGAUACGGGUUGACUUGAGGAAGGUAGGGGAGAAUGGAAUUCCUGGUGGAGCGGUGGAAUGCGCAGAUAUCAGGAGGAACACCAGUGGCGAAGGCGGUUCUCUGGGCCUUUCCUGACGCUGAGGAGCGAAAGCGUGGGGAGCGAACAGGCUUAGAUACCCCGGUAGUCCACGCUGUAAACGGUGGGUACUAGGUGUGGGGUCCAUUCCACGGGUUCCGUGCCGUAGCUAACGCUUUAAGUACCCCGCCUGGGGAGUACGGCCGCAAGGCUAAAACUCAAAGGAAUUGACGGGGCCCCGCACAAGCGGCGGAGCAUGCGGAUUAAUUCGAUGCAACGCGUAGAACCUUACCUGGGUUUGACAUGGAUCGGGAGUGCUCAGAGAUGGGUGUGCCUCUUUUGGGGUCGGUUCACAGGUGGUGCAUGGCUGUCGUCAGCUCGUGUCGUGAGAUGUUGGGUUAAGUCCCGCAACGAGCGCAACCCUUGUUCACUGUUGCCAGCACGUUAUGGUGGGGACUCAGUGGAGACCGCCGGGGUCAACUCGGAGGAAGGUGGGGAUGACGUCAAGCCAUCAUGCCCCUUAUGUCCAGGGCUUCACGCAUGCUACAAUGGCUGGUACAGAGAGUGGCGAGCCUGUGAGGGUGAGCGAAUCUCGGAAAGCCGGUCUCAGUUCGGAUUGGGGUCUGCAACUCGACCUCAUGAAGUCGGAGUCGCUAGUAAUCGCAGAUCAGCAACGCUGCGGUGAAUACGUUCCCGGGGCU
Molecule: ribosomal RNA, 1346 nt
Filed under: uncultured bacterium
Lineage: Bacteria
Description: partial 16S ribosomal RNA
Rfam family: Bacterial small subunit ribosomal RNA
Source: RNAcentral